Molecule: long non-coding RNA, 1201 nt
Filed under: Ursus maritimus (polar bear)
Lineage: Eukaryota; Metazoa; Chordata; Mammalia; Carnivora; Ursidae
Description: lncRNA (ENSUMAG00000018464.1)
Source: RNAcentral
AGGAGUCAUGGCUUUUGUCUCUACUGCUCGGAAUGGGCACCGGCGCUUGUGGGGAGGCCUUCGUUUGGACAUUGAAGGAAUGUGUGUGUGAGUCGUCGUUACUAGUGUUGAGCAGGUCAGUGACGGUCAGCGGGGUCCACUGUUGAAACGGGUGGUGGAGGAGCGUCUAACCGUCUAACCUAACCGAGCGUCUGGGAGGCGAGGCGCCGGGAUUCCAUCGGAGUGUUCAUGGGCCUCUGUGCACUAAGCACCGUGGGAGACUGGGAUUCGAAGGCACAGGAGUGUCCCUGCUUUGAACUUUGACAGAAUUGGCACGUAGAGCUGGAGACGGAUCGUGCAGUCGGAGGUGACCCGCUUCCUACUGGGGAUGUUACAGGAAUUCAGAGGAGGAAGGGCCCUGUCAGGCUGGGUCCAGCGGGGGACUGAGAGCUAACAGGAGAGCAGGCGAGUUGAGGAGAGGCCGAACGUGACCCACAUGCAGUGAGCAAGAAGAUCAAAGCAGCCUAACCCCUGGAGAUUCUGAUUUGAUGGAUUCUGAUAGGCUCCAGGAAUCUGUAUGGAAUCCCGGAGGACCGUGAUGGCAGCCAUGCCACCUUUCCUAGAUGGGGAGUCACUGAGCCCGAUGAUGUCGAGUGCCCUGGGCGGGCAUCGGAAGACGGUGUGGAGCGGUGACAGGUGGCUGUCCCCAGUGACCCUGUGUGACGCAUCAGGGAAAAAAUGCACAGAAGACUAGAAGACAGAGGUUGGGAAGGUUCUGGAAUCCUGACUAAUUUUGCUUCCUUUUCUCUAUUUUCCAAUUUUUGUAUAAUAUGCUUAUUACUUUGUCGUUUAAAAAAGUUUUUUAGUUCCUUCACUGAAACCUUUAAAGAGUAGGGGCUUCCUUCUUGCUUCCAGAAAGGAAGCACGUACACGCAGGGAGGGCAAUCUCUACAGGACAGAAGUAGGAAAAGUGCAUCGUUCCAGACUUCAGGGCAUGCAGGGGGUCCUUAGAACACCCCGGGACUUGACCCCUGCGGGGUGCAUUAGCCUGCAUUCCUUCUGUUUCGAGCAUUUCUGUCUGUGAUGGCAUAUUUACUAGUGGGAUUAUCUGAUUGUAGCAGGUCCUCUGCUGUGCACCUCGGGGGUCAAUGUUGUGCCCCCAGCACCCGGCAUACGGUACGCAAAUCUUUGUUAGGAAUAAAUGAAUGAGAGAAGAGAAUCA